AUACGGAGGAUCCGAGCGUUAUCCGGAUUUAUUGGGUUUAAAGGGUGCGCAGGCGGCCAUUUAAGUCAGCGGUUAAAUCGUGGGGCUCAACCCCAUUCUGCCGUUGAUACUGGGUGGCUUGAUUGCGGUCGAGGUUGGCGGAAUUCGUUGUGUAGCGGUGAAAUGCAUAGAUAUGACGAAGAACACCGAUUGCGUAGGCAGCUGACCAGACCGCAAACGACGCUCAUGCGCGAAAGUGCGGGGAUCGAACAGGAUUAGAUACCCUGGUAGUCCGCACAGUAAGCGAUGAAUGCUUGUUUUCGGCGAUAUAAUGUCGGAGGCAAAGCGAAAGCGAUAAGUAUUCCACCUGGGGAGUACGCCGGCAACGGUGAAACUCAAAGGAAUUGACGGGG
This 392-nucleotide ribosomal RNA is filed under the name uncultured bacterium. RNAcentral describes it as "partial 16S ribosomal RNA". It matches the Rfam family "Bacterial small subunit ribosomal RNA", at positions 523 to 918 of the family's 1533-position model. The record is from RNAcentral.